UGGCGGCGUGCUUAACACAUGCAAGUCGAACGGGAAACCUUUUAUUGAAGCUUCGGCAGAUUUAGCUGGUUUCUAGUGGCGGACGGGUGAGUAACGCGUGGGUAACCUGCCUUAUACAGGGGGAUAACAACCAGAAAUGGUUGCUAAUACCGCAUAAGCGCACAGGACCGCAUGGUCGGUGUGAAAAACUCCGGUGGUAUAAGAUGGACCCGCGUUGGAUUAGCUAGUUGGCAGGGUAACGGCCUACCAAGGCGACGAUCCAUAGCCGGCCUGAGAGGGUGAACGGCCACAUUGGGACUGAGACACGGCCCAGGCUCCUACGGGAGGCAGCAGUGGGGAAUAUUGCACAAUGGGGGAAACCCUGAUGCAGCGACGCCGCGUGAAGGAAGAAGUAUCUCGGUAUGUAAACUUCUAUCAGCAGGGAAGAUAGUGACGGUACCCGACUAAGAAGCCCCGGCUAACUACGUGCCAGCAGCCGCGGUAAUACGUAGGGGGCAAGCGUUAUCCGGAUUUACUGGGUGUAAAGGGAGCGUAGACGGACUGGCAAGUCUGAUGUGAAAGGCGGGGGCUCAACCCCUGGACUGCAUUGGAAACUGUUAGUCUUGAGUGCCGGAGAGGUAAGCGGAAUUCCUAGUGUAGCGGUGAAAUGCGUAGAUAUUAGGAGGAACACCAGUGGCGAAGGCGGCCUACUGGACGGUAACUGACGUUGAGGCUCGAAAGCGUGGGGAGCAAACAGGAUUAGAUACCCCGGUAGUCCACGCCGUAAACGAUGAAUACUAGGUGUUGGGGAGCAAAGCUCUUCGGUGCCGCCGCAAACGCAUUAAGUAUUCCACCUGGGGAGUACGUUCGCAAGAAUGAAACUCAAAGGAAUUGACGGGGACCCGCACAAGCGGUGGAGCAUGUGGUUUAAUUCGAAGCAACGCGAAGAACCUUACCAAGUCUUGACAUCCCUCUGACCGACUCCUAACCGAGUCUUUCCUUCGGGACAGGGGAGACAGGUGGUGCAUGGUUGUCGUCAGCUCGUGUCGUGAGAUGUUGGGUUAAGUCCCGCAACGAGCGCAACCCCUAUCCCCAGUAGCCAGCGGUUCGGCCGGGCACUCUGAGGAGACUGCCAGGGAUAACCUGGAGGAAGGCGGGGAUGACGUCAAAUCAUCACGCCCCUUAUGAUUUGGGCUACACACGUGCUACAAUGGCGUAAACAAAGGGAAGCGAGCCUGCGAAGGUAAGCAAAUCCCAAAAAAUAACGUCCCAGUUCGGACUGCAGUCUGCAACUCGACUGCACGAAGCUGGAAUCGCUAGUAAUCGCGGAUCAGAAUGCCGCGGUGAAUACGUUCCCGGGUCUUGUACACACCGCCCGUCACACCAUGGGAGUCAGUAACGCCCGAAGUCAGUGACCUAACUGCAAAGAAGGAGCUGCCGAAGGCGGGACCGGUGACUGGGGUGAAGUCGUAACAAGGUA
Molecule: ribosomal RNA, 1459 nt
Filed under: metagenome
Description: bacterial SSU rRNA
Rfam family: Bacterial small subunit ribosomal RNA
Source: RNAcentral